This is a long non-coding RNA of Leptinotarsa decemlineata (Colorado potato beetle), 692 nucleotides long. Lineage: Eukaryota; Metazoa; Arthropoda; Insecta; Coleoptera; Chrysomelidae. The record is from RefSeq and is a predicted model, not a curated record.
UUGGGAGCAAAACGAGAGCCUUGUUAGAAGAUUGCUAGAAAACAUAAUUCCUAAACUCGAGAAAGUAGCUAUGGGUAAUUUAGAAGACAUGCCCAUGAGCAUAGAUGAUUUUUGCCAAAGACUGAAUCCUUCGUUGGAAGGUCUACUAUUGGCUUCUCAAAGAUGUAGUAUUUUGAGAAAGCAUGAGUUCACCUUCGAUCCAAGAAUUCUUAUUCGCUUCACGAAGUUGGAGUCUUUUAGCAAGAUGGACGUAAAUAAUUUGUAAUUUUAUAUUGGUAUCGUCAAAAAAGGCGUAGAUCAGUUACUAGAAAAUAUUGGAUUCACCCAAUUGUGAGACAAAGAUACCGUUUGGGUGCUUACCAGACUUUAAUGGGGCAGUUAAGAAGAGAUGAAAUAAUUUGUUUUAAUUAUUUUCGAAUGUCGUCGUCUACUUUUAAUGAGCUCCUGAGAAGAGUGAAAGAUUUGAAACGACAAGACACCAGAAUGAGAAAGAGUAUAAAUCCUGAAGAGAAACUGGCUAUAUGCUUCAGAUACUUGGCUUCUGGAUGUUCAUUUGAAGAUCUUCAUUACUCAUACCGAGUGGGUGUAUCGACAAUUAGUAAUAUUGUGGCAGAAGUUACAGAAAAUAUAUGGAACAACUUAUGGAGUGAAUUUAUAAGUUUACCAAAUACAACUGAAGCGUGGGAAAAAAU